This 507-nucleotide ribosomal RNA is filed under the name uncultured bacterium. Its description in RNAcentral is "bacterial SSU rRNA". It matches the Rfam family "Bacterial small subunit ribosomal RNA", at positions 36 to 507 of the family's 1533-position model. The record is from RNAcentral.
AACGAACGACUGGCGGCGUGGAUUAGGCAUGCAAGUCGAACGAGAAGACUCCCUUCCGGGGAGUGAGUACAGUGGCGAACGGGUGGAGUAACGCGUGGGAAACCUAGCCUCAGAGUGGGGAGUAACAGUUCUAACGGACUGCUAAUACCGCAUGACGCCGUUGAUCGCAUGGUCAACGGUUAAAGAUGGCCUCUACAUGUAAGCUGUCGCUUAGAGAUGGUCCCGCGUCCUAUUAGCUUGUUGGUAGGGUAACGGCCUACCAAGGCGACGAUGGGUAGCCGGCCUGAGAGGGUGGUCGGCCACACUGGGACUGAGAUACGGCCCAGACUCCUACGGGAGGCAGCAGUCGAGAGGCUUCGGCAAUGGGGGAAACCCUGACCGAGCGACGUCGCGUGGGUGAUGAAGAUUCUUGGAUCGUAAAACCCUGUCAGGUGGGAUGAAAUGCGACCUGGCCAAUACCCAGGUUGUUUGACAGUACCACCAGAGGAAGCUCCGGCCAACUCCGUG